AUUGAACGCUGGCGGCAGGCCUAACACAUGCAAGUCGAACGAGUGGCGGACGGGUGAGUAAUUUCUGGGAAACUGCCCGAUGGAGGGGGAUAACUACUGGAAACGGUAGCUAAUACCGCAUACCAUCAGAUGUUCCCAGAUGGGAUUAGCGUGUUGGGGGGGUAAAGGCUCACCAAGGCGACGAUCCCUAGCUGGUCUGAGAGGAUGACCAGCUACACUGGAACGGAGACACGGUCCAGACUCCUACGGGAGGCAGCAGUGGGGAAUAUUGCACAAUGGGCGCAAGCCUGAUGCAGCCAUGCCGCGGGUAUGAAGAAGGCCUUAGGGUUGUAAAGUACUUUCAGCGGGGAGGCGUUACCCGCAGAAGAAGCACCGGCUAACUCCGUGCCAGCAGCCGCGGUAAUUC
Molecule: ribosomal RNA, 406 nt
Filed under: uncultured bacterium
Lineage: Bacteria
Description: partial 16S ribosomal RNA
Rfam family: Bacterial small subunit ribosomal RNA
Source: RNAcentral